GAGGUACAGCUGGUAGAGACAGGAGGAGGCUUGGUGCAGCCUGGAAACUCUCUAAAACUUUCCUGUGCCACUUCGGGAUACCCUUUUUAUGACUACUGGAUGGAUUGGGUCCGCCAUUCUCCAGAAAAGGGGCUGGAGUGGGUUGCUCGAAUUGCAACAAAAACUCAUAAUUAUGCAACGUACUAUGCAGAGUCUGUGAAAGGCCGAUUCAUCGUCUCAAGAGAUGAUUCCAAAAGCAGUGCAUACAUGCAGAUGAACAGCUUAAGAAAGGAAGACACUGCCGUUUAUUACUGUGCAAGA
Molecule: non-coding RNA, 300 nt
Organism: Mus musculus (house mouse)
Lineage: Eukaryota; Metazoa; Chordata; Mammalia; Rodentia; Muridae
Source: the annotation of a RefSeq genome assembly